This 84-nucleotide transfer RNA is filed under the name Mycobacteriales bacterium. It matches the Rfam family "tRNA". From Rfam's summary of the family: Transfer RNA (tRNA) molecules are approximately 80 nucleotides in length. Their secondary structure includes four short double-helical elements and three loops (D, anti-codon, and T loops). Further hydrogen bonds mediate the characteristic L-shaped molecular structure. tRNAs have two regions of fundamental functional importance: the anti-codon, which is responsible for specific mRNA codon recognition, and the 3' end, to which the tRNAs corresponding amino acid is attached (by aminoacyl-tRNA synthetases). tRNAs cope with the degeneracy of the genetic code in two manners: having more than one tRNA (with a specific anti-codon) for a particular amino acid; and 'wobble' base-pairing, i.e. permitting non-standard base-pairing at the 3rd anti-codon position. Lineage: Bacteria; Bacillati; Actinomycetota; Actinomycetes; Mycobacteriales. The record is from Rfam by way of RNAcentral.
GCCUGGGUGGUGGAAUGGCAGACACAACCGUCUUAAAAACGGUUGCCCUUGCCGGGCGUGCGGGUUCGAGUCCCGUCCUGGGCA